RNAcentral lists this ribosomal RNA (206 nucleotides) under uncultured bacterium. RNAcentral's name for it is "partial 16S ribosomal RNA". It matches the Rfam family "Bacterial small subunit ribosomal RNA", at positions 568 to 774 of the family's 1533-position model. The record is from RNAcentral.
CACGUAGGCGGACUCUUAAGUUGGUGGUGAAAUCCUGGAGCUCAACUCCAGAACUGCCUUCGAUACUGAGAGUCUCGAGUCCGGGAGAGGUGAGUGGAACUGCGAGUGUAGAGGUGAAAUUCGUAGAUAUUCGCAAGAACACCAGUGGCGAAGGCGGCUCACUGGCCCGGUACUGACGCUGAGGUGCGAAAGCGUGGGAGCAAACA